UUAUACAUGCAAGUCGAGCGGCAAGGUCUUCGGACCCUAGAGCGGCGCACGGGUGAGUAACGCGUACGCAAUCUGCCCUUCAGUGAGGAAUAGCCCUGGGAAACUGGGAUUAAUACCUCAUAAUAUUAUCUGUUCGCAUGGAUGGAUAAUUAAAGUUCUGGCGCUGAAGGAUGGGCGUGCGUCUGAUUAGCUUGUUGGUAGGGUAACGGCCUACCAAGGCUACGAUCAGUAGGGGGCGUGAGAGCGUGACCCCCCACACGGGUACUGAGACACGGACCCGACUCCUACGGGAGGCAGCAGUAAGGAAUAUUGGGCAAUGGAGGCAACUCUGACCCAGCCAUCCCGCGUGAAGGAUGAAGGCGCUCAGCGUUGUAAACUUCUUUUGUUUGGGAAGAAAUCUGGACAUUUAUGUGCAGUUGACGGUACCUUACGAAUAAGCACCGGCUAACUCCGUGCCAGCAGCCGCGGUAAUACGGAGGGUGCAAGCGUUAUCCGGAAUCACUGGGUUUAAAGGGUGCGUAGGCGGUUUGAUAAGUCAGAGGUGAAAGCUAGCAGCUUAACUGUUAAAUUGCCUUUGAUACUGUCAGACUUGAAUCAGGUUGAGGUAGGCGGAAUGUGACAUGUAGCGGUGAAAUGCAUAGAUAUGUCAUAGAACACCAAUUGCGUAGGCAGCUUGCUGGGCUUGAAUUGACGCUGAGGCACGAAAGCGUGGGGAUCAAACAGGAUUAGAUACCCUGGUAGUCCACGCCCUAAACGAUGUUAACUCGAUAUUUAUUCUUCGGAGUGAGUGUCCAAGCGAAAGCGUUAAGUUAACCACCUGGGGAGUACGUUCGCAAGAAUGAAACUCAAAUGAAUUGACGGAAGGGCGAAUUCU
This 874-nucleotide ribosomal RNA is filed under the name uncultured Haliscomenobacter sp. Its description in RNAcentral is "bacterial SSU rRNA". It matches the Rfam family "Bacterial small subunit ribosomal RNA", at positions 49 to 929 of the family's 1533-position model. The record is from RNAcentral. Lineage: Bacteria; Pseudomonadati; Bacteroidota; Saprospiria; Saprospirales; Haliscomenobacteraceae.